UUAUGGCCACAUCACGUUGAAACACCGCCCUUCGUGCGAUCACUGAAGUUAAGCAACGUCGAGCCUGGUCAGUACCUAGAUGGGUGACAGCUUGGGAAGACCUGAUACUGUAAG
Non-coding RNA from Acanthosepion pharaonis, 114 nucleotides. The record is from the annotation of a GenBank genome assembly. Lineage: Eukaryota; Metazoa; Mollusca; Cephalopoda; Sepiida; Sepiidae.